This is a long non-coding RNA of Haliotis rubra (blacklip abalone), 258 nucleotides long. RefSeq lists it as uncharacterized. NCBI's taxonomy places the organism in Eukaryota, Metazoa, Mollusca, Gastropoda, Lepetellida, Haliotidae. The transcript is spliced from 3 exons. The record is from RefSeq and is a predicted model, not a curated record.
UCAUGAUAUAUUAUACUGCGAGUUUCUGGAUUUACCUCUGACAUUAACAUGUUAAAUUUAUGAACAGUAGGAUUCAAAUAGUAUUUCUUUGGCAAAAGUAACGACCUUAGAUCUUGGUAUACAUUACAUACUAAUACAAAAUGAUAUUCGUCUUCAAUAUAUCGUUCUUUGCAUACAAGAUAUAAUCUAUCAACUUUAGUUUCAUUAGCAUAUCUGCCAGUUUCAAUUCCGGUGUGAAAAACAUCUAAAUUGAUAGGA